GACGAACGCUGGCGGCGUGCUUAACACAUGCAAGUCGAACGGAAAGGCCCUGCUUUUGUGGGUUGCUCGUGUGGCGAGCGGGUGAGUAACACGUGAGUAACCUGCCCUUGACAUUGGGAUAACAUCAGGGAACUGGGGCUAAUACCGGAUAGGAGCUCCUGCUGCAUGGUGGGGGAUGGAAAGUUUCGGCGGUUGGGGAUGGACUGGCAGCUUAUCAGCUGGUUUGUGGGGUAGUGGCGUACCAAGGCUUUGACGGGUAGCCGGCCUGGGAGGGUGACCGGCCACAUUGCGCCUGAGAUACGGCCCAGUCUCCUACCGGAGGCAGCAGUGGGGAGUAUUGCACAAUGGGCGGAAGCCUGAUGCAGCGACGCCGCGUGCGGGAUGACGUCUUUCGGGUUGUAAACCGCUUUCGCCUGUGACGAAGCGUGAGUGACGGUAAUGGGUAAAGAAGCACCGGCUAACUACGUG
Molecule: ribosomal RNA, 468 nt
Filed under: uncultured bacterium
Lineage: Bacteria
Description: partial 16S ribosomal RNA
Rfam family: Bacterial small subunit ribosomal RNA
Source: RNAcentral